CGCGCGCCGCCGGGGGCGGCUGACUCAGCGGGGCCGCUGCCGACGCCGGGAUCUGCUCGGGCGCGAACCCGGGUCGAGGGCCCGCCCACCCUCUCGACUCAGUGAGAGAUCAUGCUCUCUGGUGCAGGGAGAGCCAUCCAUCCAUUCGUCUCACCUGUCAGAGGGAAGCAGGGAGCAGAAGAUGGCAGGUUGCUUCCAGCUCAGGACUCCACUUCAGCAGUGACACUGACACAGCCCUUGGGGUCCCUUUGGAUCUUCCUGAGGAGCCGCCUUCACCUUGCACCCCCCCCUUCCCCCCCACUGGCCUCACUUCUGUGUGCAGGCACAUAUGCUGAGCUGGCCCUUGGAAUUCUGACCUGUCCUCCUGUGGGAGAGUCUGGUCAGCCAAGCUGAGCAGCCAUGGGCUGCUUUCCUUUGUUCGAUACAUCAAAUCUCUUUGUGUAAAGGUUGGUUUUUAAGGUUUUAUUCAUUUUAUUGAAGUAAAACUUUCAUAUCUUAAAUGUUCAGCUUGAUGAAAUUUUAUGUAUGUAUACCCUGAGGAAGCCAUUACUCAGAUUGUUGUGAGUCCUGUGCCAUUUAGUACAGUAGCCACCAGUCCCUUGAAAUGUUUCUAGUUUGAACUGAGAUGUGCUGUGAGUAUAAAAUACACAUGAGACUGUGACAACUUAAUUUUUUAAAAAAAUAAUAUAUAUCUUUGAUUUUUAAAAAUAUGCAAAGGUAUUUUGGAUAUAUUGUGCUAAAUAAAAUAUAUUAAAAUUAUUUUAUCUAUUUUUUUUAGUUUUUUUAGUGUGGCUACUAGAAAAUUUAAAAGUAUAUCUAUGCCUUGCCUUGUAUAUAUUUUUGGACAGUGCUGAUUUAGAACAUUCCCAGC
This 871-nucleotide long non-coding RNA is filed under the name Dasypus novemcinctus (nine-banded armadillo). Its description in RNAcentral is "lncRNA (ENSDNOG00000050302.1)". Lineage: Eukaryota; Metazoa; Chordata; Mammalia; Cingulata; Dasypodidae. The record is from RNAcentral.